UUUGAAAUUGAAGAGUUUGAUCAUGUCUCAGAUUGAACGCUGGCGGCAGGCC
This 52-nucleotide ribosomal RNA is filed under the name Escherichia coli O157:H7 str. K2622. RNAcentral's name for it is "partial 16S ribosomal RNA". Lineage: Bacteria; Pseudomonadati; Pseudomonadota; Gammaproteobacteria; Enterobacterales; Enterobacteriaceae. The record is from RNAcentral.